Molecule: ribosomal RNA, 555 nt
Filed under: uncultured bacterium
Lineage: Bacteria
Description: bacterial SSU rRNA
Rfam family: Bacterial small subunit ribosomal RNA
Source: RNAcentral
GAGUUUGAUCCUGGCUCAGAACGAACGCUGGCGGCAGGCCUAACACAUGCAAGUCGAGCGCUACCUUCGGGUGGAGCGGCGGACGGGUGAGUAACGCGUGGGAACGUGCCCUUCUCUGCGGGAUAGCCACUGGAAACGGUGAGUAAUACCGCAUACGCCCUUUUGGGGAAAGAUUUAUCGGAGAAGGAUCGGCCCGCGUCUGAUUAGGUAGUUGGUGGGGUAAUGGCCUACCAAGCCUACGAUCAGUAGCUGGUUUUAGAGGAUGAUCAGCCACACUGGGACUGAGACACGGCCCAGACUCCUACAGGAGGCAGCAGUGGGGAAUCUUAGACAAUGGGCGCAAGCCUGAUCUAGCCAUGCCGCGUGAGUGAUGAAGGUCUUAGGAUCGUAAAGCUCUUUCGCCAGGGAUGAUAAUGACAGUACCUGGUAAAGAAACCCCGGCUAACUCCGUGCCAGCAGCCGCGGUAAUACGGAGGGGGUUAGCGUAGUUCGGAAUUACUGGGCGUAAAGCGCGCGUAAGCGGAUUGGAAAGUUGGGGGUGAAAUCCCGGGGCUC